Long non-coding RNA from Cornus florida, 871 nucleotides. RefSeq lists it as uncharacterized. NCBI's taxonomy places the organism in Eukaryota, Viridiplantae, Streptophyta, Magnoliopsida, Cornales, Cornaceae. The transcript has 2 exons. The record is from RefSeq and is a predicted model, not a curated record.
UGCUAGAGAAUGGGGUCUACAAAUAAAUAAAUAUCUUCAGCAACCUUUUCUGAUUAUUUAUACUUUUAUAGUAAUGUAUAUGCUAAUACAGAAAAUUAAUUAUAAGAUUUUAUAAAAUUAAAAAAAAAAAUUAAAAAUCAGUCAUUGGUACAAUAUUUAUAAUCAGUCAUUGCUUAUAUAUGUUGGAGCUUCCUUAGACCACCUCCUUCUGUCUUCCUCUCACACAUAUGUGUGUGUAUGCAUAUAGGGGAGAGAGAGAGAGAGAGAGGUUUGAAGGAGAAGCAGAUUGGAUUCUACUGCAACUGGAGGAGGCAUCCAAAGGGAUCGCAUUGAUCCUAACUAUCUCUUUGAUCAAAAUUAUGUUUUAUAUAUAUAUAUAUAUAUAUAUAUAUUUUCUAAGCUCGUAUCGAAUUUGGAUCAUGCUAUCCCUUCGGAUACAUCCUUUAGUAGCUUCUACCAUGGUGCAAUCUCAUUUCUGAAAUCCAUCGGAAUUCAUUCCCGAACUCAACGGAGAAAGGUUCAACCUUCGAAACAUACCAGAGAGAAAAAAACUACAUUGCAAACAUCUUCAAACAAGUAUUCUGGGGGGAAAAAAUUGUAGGCACCAACGAUAUGCAGCAAAGGUGAGAAAGAGAAUCCAUAUGGCCAACCCCAUUCGUUUAGAAAAAAGACAAGGAUGAUGAUGACAUCAUGAUGGUAUGCAGCAAAGGUGAAAAUUAGUUAACAUGUCCGGAUUCAAACCCUUAAAUGCUCUAUAUAAAGGAGCAGUACGUUGUAACAUUAUACUGAAAUUGUGGACUAGUAGAAUUGUGAUUGGAACAUUACCCAAAAUCUAGAUUGAUUUUAUUAUGACAACUCACAAUUUCCUUUU